GGUCGCUUAGCUCAGUUGGUUAGAGCGUGGUGCUAAUAACUUGGUUUCUCUCAAGAGUUUCCAAACUGUUAAACGCCAAGGUCGCGAGUUCGACCCUCGUAGUGACCA
RNAcentral lists this transfer RNA (108 nucleotides) under Aplosporella prunicola CBS 121167. It matches the Rfam family "tRNA". From Rfam's summary of the family: Transfer RNA (tRNA) molecules are approximately 80 nucleotides in length. Their secondary structure includes four short double-helical elements and three loops (D, anti-codon, and T loops). The record is from Rfam by way of RNAcentral. Lineage: Eukaryota; Fungi; Ascomycota; Dothideomycetes; Botryosphaeriales; Aplosporellaceae.